Molecule: ribosomal RNA, 561 nt
Filed under: uncultured bacterium
Lineage: Bacteria
Description: bacterial SSU rRNA
Rfam family: Bacterial small subunit ribosomal RNA
Source: RNAcentral
UACGGGUGGCAGCAGUAGGGAAUAUUGGGCAAUGGGCGAAAGCCUGACCCAGCAACGCCGCGUGCACGAUGAAGGUCUUCGGAUCGUAAAGUGCUUUUCUGAGAGAUGAGAAAGGACAGUAUCUCAGGAAUAAGUCUCGGCUAACUACGUGCCAGCAGCCGCGGUAAAACGUAGGAGGCAAGCGUUAUCCGGAUUUACUGGGUGUAAAGCGCGUGCAGGUGGUUUGGUAAGUUGGAUGUGAAAGCUCCUGGCUCAACUGGGAGAGGUCGUUCAAUACUACCAGACUUGAGAGCAGUAGAGGGAUGUGGAAUUCCCGGUGUAGUGGUGAAAUGCGUAGAUAUCGGGAGGAACACCAGUGGCGAAAGCGGCAUCCUGGACUGUUUCUGACACUCAGACGCGAAAGCUAGGGUAGCAAACGGGAUUAGAGACCCCGGUAGUCCUAGCUGUAAACGAUGUGAACUUGGCGUCGGCGGGUUCAAAGCCGUCGGUGCCGUAGCUAACGCGAUAAGUUCACCACCUGGGGACUACGGCCGCAAGGUUAAAACUCAAAGGAAUUGACGG